Molecule: ribosomal RNA, 480 nt
Filed under: uncultured bacterium
Lineage: Bacteria
Description: partial 16S ribosomal RNA
Rfam family: Bacterial small subunit ribosomal RNA
Source: RNAcentral
GACGAACGCUGGCGGCGUGCUUAACACAUGCAAGUCGAACGAUGAAGAAAAGAAUCGAAGCUUCGGCAGAAAUUCAUUUCGGAUUAGUGGCAGACGGGUGAGUAACGCGUGAGCAACCUACCUCUUACAAAGGGAUAGCCUCGGGAAACCGGGAUUAAUACCAUAUAACAUUGUGACGAAGCAUUUCGAUGCAAUCAAGGCUACGGCGGUAAGAGAUGGGCUCGCGUCCCAUUAACCGGAUGGUGAGGUAACGGCUCACCAUAGUGACGAUGGGUAACCGGCCUGGGAGGGUGAACGGUCACACUGGAACUGAGACACGGUCCAGACUCCUACGGGAGGCAGCAGUAGGGAAUAUUGCACAAUGGAGGGAACUCUGAUGCAGCGACGCCGCGUGAGUGAUGAAGGAAUUCGUUUCGUAAAACUCUGUUCUAUGGGAAGAAAAGGACUGUACCAUAGGAGAAAGCUCCGGCUAAAUACGUG